Molecule: long non-coding RNA, 2962 nt
Organism: Pecten maximus
Lineage: Eukaryota; Metazoa; Mollusca; Bivalvia; Pectinida; Pectinidae
Exons: 2
Source: RefSeq, a predicted model, not a curated record
AAGCUUCCUACUUGCCACUGGAAAACUUCAGAAAGACCAAAUAAUGGAUUAUUCUAACAGGAAGAAUAUGCCAGUAUCUGAUGUUGAGAAGUGGCUUGGGUCUGUGUUAGCUUACGACCCAGAAUAAGAUUGAUCUGAAAUAACAAUUACUGCCAAAUAUUUUAAUGUAUUUGAAGAUCUUUAAUGCAUGACACCAAGUGGUAUUUCAAAUUUGGAACAUUCCUUGUGGGAUGAUUUUUGACAUUUUGGUUUUGGUGUUAAGGUUGUGCUGUAUUAUUCCAGUAUGAAAUGUUAAUGAAUUUUUAAAUCCACCUGAACCAUAAGUAAUCAGAUAAUAUUAUUAACAACUGCACGAAGUGCAGAACUGGUACAUGUAGGUUCCAUUUCAGGUUUCUGGGGAAACAUUUAUAAUUUAUUGUUGUUUAUCUUCAACUGAACAGAUUAAUAGUGUAAUUGCAAAAUAUAACUAUGACAUUUACUUUAAAUAAUACGCUUAAAAACCAUGACCAUGAGAACCAUGAGAGUAAUUUUCCUCAUUAUACAGGAUAAUCUAUAUACGAAGAUGUUGGUACUGUGGUAUAUCAUUAUUUUGUACCAGGGUGAUUUUCCACUCCAAGCUGUAGUGUGAGAUAUUGGCAAUAGAAAUACCUGUAGUGAAAUACAUCAUCAUGUUGAUUCGGGGGAUUUUACAAAUAUCCUAAAGUUUUACUUGUCAAACUAUGCUCUUAAUGUAAUUUAUUUAAAAGACUAUUUAGAUACAAUCACAUUUCUCUAUUAAAAAUCACCUGUGAGGUUUUUUUUAGGUAAAAUGAGGUGGUUGAUCAUUAUUUCCAUGAAUACAUGUAAUUAUGAGAUUAUAGGUAAAAUAUUGAUCUCAAAUGAACAAGGUUUAGAUAACUAUAUGGACAUGACUGCAACAUACAUACAUAUACAUUAACUUAUACUGUGUGCUUAGAAUAUUUGAUACUUUGCUUAAUCCAGAAGAACAAAUAAGUGUUUUUAUAUAAAAUCAAAAUUCUUUUACUUGACGUGUGUUAUAUAUAUUUUCUGAACUGCUUCAGUUUUUAAUAUACUUUUAAUAUAUGUUGACUUACUGAUUUUUUUUUUUUUUUAAUUUUUGAAACAAGUUUUUUAUACAUUGUAUAUCUUUUUUUUCUCAUAUAAAUGUGAUGUUCAAGCAUAAUAUACUGUACAUACAGAUCUGAAUGAAAUAUCAGUAUAAUUAUUUGUUAUAAGUCUGAAGCGGAAUCUUUCAACAGGUUGUUUUUUGUGUAUUGAGAACUGUUAUUAAUACGAUAUACCUGUUUGUACCCAAUGUAAAGGACUUAUACUGGUAGAUUUUACUGUACACUUAUUUUGGGGGAAAAUGUCAGGAACAUUCUAUGUAUUAGAAUCUGAUGACUGUUUAAAACUGGCGAUCAUGCAUAACAAAUAUUGAAUUAAGUACUAUGUAAUAAAAGGGGAAGGGCUUGAUGCAAGUUAGAUAGCUUGUUUCCAGUCCCUUGGUUUUAUUGACAAUAAAAUAUGUUUAAACUAAAUUAAGCAUUUAGAUAAUAGUAUUAUUGUGAAAGGAUGAAUAUGAGAGGAACUUUCUCAGGAGCUUUAAAAAAUCUAGAAUUAUUUUUAAACAGUCCUUACAUGAGAAGUAGGUGUUUUUAUGUGUAUAUGUUGUUGUUUGGUUUGAGUGGUGAUGUUCGUUACUAAGUUGUCAUAAUAAUAAUAUGUUGAUAAUGAGGAAUGUGAGAUUAUAUACAGAUUAUAUUAAUCAGAUUAACAUUAUAAAACCAGGUCUGUGUUCUUGUGUUUUUAGAUGACGUACCAUCAGAUACAGUGUACACCUCUAUGACUAACGAGGAGAUUUACAACCAUGGACAUAUGUCUUGUUGUCUUAAAUAUCCUCUUCAAUUAAGUUUAUACUAAAAGUUGUUGCUUUUCUAAAUAUUGUCGGUGUUUGCACAAUGAAUGUGAAGAUAGUUGUGCAGUUAUGUUAAUCAGAGAAUCUCACUUGGUAAGGUAUUGUACACAAUGUAUACUGUACGACCAUCCAGCUCGCAUUACAAAAGGUUUUGUCAAGUUCCUGGUUUUCUCAGUAUUCCUAAACUAAUAUAUUCUCCAUUGGGGAGCGUUACUGGAUUUAAGGAAAAAAUCUUAGUUAAGAAACUGUCUUUAAAUUCUGUGACGCUUUCCUGUAGGAAAAUUUCAAGUUAAGGAAUAUUGAUGUUAUAACUGGGGGUAUACAUUAUUACCAAAGAUUAUUGCAUUGUACCACUCUAUACUUAUGGGAUUAGCUUUCAUCCCAUCCUAUUAUGUUUACAUAAAAAAUACACAAACUAUUAUAAUACAUAUUGCCCUUUUAGGAUGCUGUUUUUGAAAUAACUUAAAUAUGUGUAUUUAUGUAUGUAAGGGUGUAUCUUUAGCUCACCUGGCCCGAAGGGGCGCAAUAGGGGAAUUAAAGUAAGUCCUUUAAAUCCCUAAUAGUCAUGAAUGCCUUAAAGGAUUUUGAUGAAACUUGGUCUGGACCAUUAUUGGGCAAAGGAGAAAGAUAAAAUGUUGUAUAAACUGAGGGUGUGGUUUCCCUGGGACCAGAGGGGCAGGGCCAAAUACGGGAAAUUGAGGUGAAUCAUUUAAAUCGCUUCUAGUCCUAAACACCACAAUGGAUUUUGAUGAAAUUUUGUCUGGAGCAUAAUUAGGCAAAGGAGAUCUUUUAAACCAUUGUUGGAUGAGACAGUUUAAAAGUAGGAAAAUAUUUGAAAUAUCUGGUAUAAUUUAAAUGAGAUUAUUUUGCCAUAAUUACUGAAAUAUCCAGAAGAGCGAUGAAGGCCCUCUGGGCCUCUUUCUGCAAUUGAUAAAUUUGUAUUCACUUUCUGAGCUGUGUUUUUAUUUACAUUGAAUUACAUGUUCAUGCUAUAAUUAAUAUUUUUGUUGUUGGUUGUAAACACAUAUUAUGAUGAUGAUAUCUUAG